CACCGCCGCGGGAAUACGAAGGGUGCAAGCGUUAAUCGGAAUUACUGGGCGUAAAGCGUGCGUAGGUGGUGGUUUAAGUCCGUUGUGAAAGCCCUGGGCUCAACCUGGGAAUUGCAGUGGAUACUGGGUCACUAGAGUGUGGUAGAGGAUAGUGGAAUUUCCGGUGUAGCAGUGAAAUGCGUAGAUAUGCGGAGGAACACCGAUGGCGAAGGCAGCCCCCUGGGCCAACACUGACGCUCAUGCACGAAAGCGUGGGGAGCAAACAGGAUUAGAUACCCCAGUAGUCCCUGUCUCUUAUACA
This 301-nucleotide ribosomal RNA is filed under the name uncultured bacterium. RNAcentral describes it as "partial 16S ribosomal RNA". It matches the Rfam family "Bacterial small subunit ribosomal RNA", at positions 510 to 808 of the family's 1533-position model. The record is from RNAcentral.